RNAcentral lists this transfer RNA (74 nucleotides) under Bacteroidota bacterium. RNAcentral's name for it is "Bacteroidetes bacterium (activated sludge metagenome) tRNA-Cys". It matches the Rfam family "tRNA". Rfam says of the family: Transfer RNA (tRNA) molecules are approximately 80 nucleotides in length. Their secondary structure includes four short double-helical elements and three loops (D, anti-codon, and T loops). Lineage: Bacteria; Pseudomonadati; Bacteroidota. The record is from RNAcentral. RNAcentral also lists the same sequence under 1 other name.
GGCGCGGUGGCCGAGUGGUUAGGCAGCGGUCUGCAAAACCGUUUACACGGGUUCAACUCCCGUCCGUGCCUCCA